Molecule: ribosomal RNA, 441 nt
Filed under: uncultured bacterium
Lineage: Bacteria
Description: partial 16S ribosomal RNA
Rfam family: Bacterial small subunit ribosomal RNA
Source: RNAcentral
CCUACGGGAGGCAGCAGUAGGGAAUCUUUCACAAUGGGCGAAAGCCUGAUGGAGCAACGCCGCGUGCAGGAUGAAGGCCUUCGGGUUGUAAACUGCUUUUAUAAGCGAGAAAUAUGAUGGUAACUUAUGAAUAAGGAUCGGCUAACUACGUGCCAGCAGCCGCGGUCAUACGUAGGAUCCGAGCAUUAUCCGGAGUGACUGGGUGUAAAGAGUUGCGUAGGUGGCAUAAUAAGUAGCUAGUGAAAUCUGGUGGCUCAACCAUUCAGACUAUUAGCUAAACUGUUAAGCUCGAGACCGGUAGGGGUAACUGGAAUUUCUAGUGUAGGAGUGAAAUCCGUAGAUAUUAGAAGGAACACCAAUAGCGUAGGCAGGUUGCUGGGACGGUUCUGACACUAAGGCACGAAAGCGUAGGGAGCAAACGGGAUUAGAUACCCCAGUAGU